UCUCGCCCGCUGGAGCAGCACUGAGCUCCACCCAUCUGUGGGUGUCAGGCAGCCUGGCGGGCACCCUGGCCUCCGAUCUGCCUUGGUCAGAGAAGGAGACCCUGCAGCCAGCUGAUCUCCACUGAAUGACACUGUGAUGAAAUCACUUUAAUGUCCUUGCCAAGGAAAUGCCCAAGACACUGGCAGGUGGGCAAGGUCUCCACACACUGGUCCAGC
This 216-nucleotide long non-coding RNA is filed under the name Homo sapiens (human). RNAcentral describes it as "HSALNT0270556". The record is from RNAcentral. Lineage: Eukaryota; Metazoa; Chordata; Mammalia; Primates; Hominidae.